UCGGGCGAGUAAAGCGGCGAACGGGUGAGUAACACGUAAUCAAUCUACCCCUGAGAUCGGAAUAACCGUGGGAAACUGCGGGUAAUGCCGAAUGGUCCCGGCCCUUCGCAUGGAGGAUCGGGUAAACGGUGGCCUGCUGCUGUUCAGGGAGGAGAUUGCGGCCUAUCAGCUUGUUGGUGGGGUAACGGCCUACCAAGGCGAUGACGGGUAGCCGGUCUGAGAGGACGAUCGGCCACACUGGGACUGAGACACUGCCCAGACUCCUACGGGAGGCUGCAGUCGAGAAUCUUCCGCAAUGGGCGAAAGCCUGACGGAGCGACACCGCGUGCAGGAUGAAGGCCUUCGGGUCGUAAACUGCUGUCACGCUAUAGGAAAGCCCUGCUUUAUAACCAGGGUUGACCAAAGCGAGAGGAAGCACCGGCUAACUCCGUGCCAGCAGCCGCGGUAAUACGGAGGGUGCAAACGUUGUUCGGAAUCACUGGGCAUAAAGCGCACGUAGGCGGUCCGCUCAGUCGGGUGUGAAAGCCCUCGGCUCAACCGGGGAAUAGCAUUCGAUACUGGCGGACUUGAGGAUGGUUGGGGUGAGUGGAACUCCUGGUGGAGCGGUGAAAUGCGUAGAUAUCAGGAGGAACACCAGUGGCGAAAGCGGCUCACUGGGCCAUCACUGACGCUGAGGUGCGAAAGCUAGGGGAGCGAACGGGAUUAGAUACCCCGGUAGUCCUAGCCGUAAACGAUGGGCACUAGGUAGGGGGAACACCUA
RNAcentral lists this ribosomal RNA (760 nucleotides) under uncultured bacterium. RNAcentral describes it as "bacterial SSU rRNA". It matches the Rfam family "Bacterial small subunit ribosomal RNA", at positions 82 to 835 of the family's 1533-position model. The record is from RNAcentral.